GUAAUAAUAACGUUAUUCAAAGAUCCCGGAUUAUAUUUUCUGAUAACCUUAAAGUCUCCCCAAGUUAAUGUGUUUAAUACUACUACAUACACUGCCCCACCUGACCAAUGGAUUCCUUUUAAUGAAACCACCUGCUCAUACGUGUCCCAUGUAAUCUAUGGAAUGGGGCUCAAUAGCUCCCGUGCUUUUUGCCGUGGCCUUGUUCCUCCUGGUCGGCACUCUGUUCGAGAGGAAACUUGAGGAAACCAUGAGGAUAUUGAUGAGCAGUAGCAGACCGUGUCACCGCUGCCUGUUGGCUGCACAAAGUAUGCCCCCCACUCCACCCCCAGACAUAUCUGAAUAAAUACUACAAGUAACACGCUAUGGUACUGUAUUUUUAAGUUCUCUACAGGUUUAUGACUUAUUCGUAAAAAACGUAAUCAAUAAAAAAAACUUUUUAAUCUAUAA
Molecule: long non-coding RNA, 447 nt
Organism: Plutella xylostella (diamondback moth)
Lineage: Eukaryota; Metazoa; Arthropoda; Insecta; Lepidoptera; Plutellidae
Source: RefSeq, a predicted model, not a curated record